Molecule: ribosomal RNA, 391 nt
Filed under: uncultured bacterium
Lineage: Bacteria
Description: bacterial SSU rRNA
Rfam family: Bacterial small subunit ribosomal RNA
Source: RNAcentral
AUUGAACGCUGGCGGAAUGCUUUACACAUGCAAGUCGAGCGGCAGCGCGGGGCAACCUGGCGGCGAGCGGCGAACGGGUGAGUAAUGCAUCGGAACGUACCCAGUCGUGGGGGAUAACUGUCCGAAAGGACAGCUAAUACCGCAUACGUCCUGAGGGAGAAAGCGGGGGAUCGCAAGACCUCGCGCGAUUGGAGCGGCCGAUGCCGGAUUAGCUAGUUGGUAGGGUAAAGGCCUACCAAGGCGACGAUCCGUAGCUGGUCUGAGAGGACGACCAGCCACACUGGAACUGAGACGCGGUCCAGACUCCUACGGGAGGCAGCAGUGGGGAAUUUUGGACAAUGGGGGCAACCCUGAUCCAGCCAUUCCGCGUGAGUGAAGAAGGCCUCGGUUG